RNAcentral lists this long non-coding RNA (927 nucleotides) under Homo sapiens (human). RNAcentral's name for it is "non-protein coding lnc-ARSJ-1:10". The record is from RNAcentral. Lineage: Eukaryota; Metazoa; Chordata; Mammalia; Primates; Hominidae.
AAGCAGAUUUUCCCCCAGAGCAUCCAGAUAAGAACUCAGUCCACUCAACAUCUUCAGCUUUGUGAUAUUCCAGGCAUAUUGUGCUGAACUUCUGACUUACAGAACUAAUCCAGAAAGCCUGGAAGAUACUUUUCCAAGAAUUUAUUUUCUGUUUAGAUUCUACCCCUGAAAGUCAGUCCUGAAAGGAUUAUAAAAGCAAGAAAGAAACAUGGACUCUAAGAAUUAACAACAGUGUGGGAAGCCACGGAGGAGAUUUAUGACUACCCUAAAUUGGUUUGUGUUUGGAUGGAUGACUAUUUCCUGCUCUUUAUUACUAGAAAUUGGCAGCAACAUCUCAGAUUGGAUAAUGGUACUGGUGGAAUAAUUACCAGAAAGAAAAAAACAUCCCCACUAAAGUGAUGAAAACAUGUACAGAUUGUCCAACCUUUUGCUUUUGUACCACUUCCCCUUCCAGAUGUCAGGGUUGUGAUUUAUUUCUCCCUAAGAGUUUAAAAAUAAAACUCUCAUCAUAAAAUUUGCCUGAUACUGAUGAAAAAUAAGAUGUAGUAAUUUAGGCUUUCAGACUAGACUCAGAAAUAGAAUCCAUUAAUAUUUUUUUACUAGGGAUCCAUUUAAAAACAUCUAAACAUGAUGAAAAUGAAAGAAUGGAGAGAAAUAUGCCAGGUAAAUAUAAACUUAAAAGAAAGCUGGGGAAACUAUCAAUAUCUGACAAAAAUAGAUUUUCAUGUAAAAAAAUGUGGCACACAUACACCAUGGAAUACUAUGCAGCCAUAAAAAAGGAUGAGUUCAUGUCCUUUGUAGGGACAUGGAUGAAGCUGGAAACCAUCAUUCUCAGCAAACUAUUGCAAGGACAAAAAAACAUACACCACAUGUUCUCACUCACAGGUGGGAAUUGAACAAUGAGAACACAUGGACACAGGAAGGGGA